CUCGCGAUCACCGCGGGCGUGUUCUAGCUGUACUUUAUUCAAGAGUACAAAAAAAGCAGAAAAUAUCUCUUCCGACCGUAGGCGUGAUGGGAUUGCAAUGCAUCCAGGCGGCGGAACGCAGCAGAAUGCAUCGUAUCAGGAACGAGGCGGCAGGGGGGGGGUCCGGUCCAGCCGCAAGCUGCCAGCGCACAGGGACGGCGGAAAAGGACGAGAUGCCCGUCGCCAAGUUGCGGCCGCCGGGCUCAAAAAUAUUCCCAAGGGGCAAAAGCUGCAGACCUCGAAAAUUCUGGGGAAACCUGUCAAUCAGAUCGGGAGGAUUUACGUGCAAGAAACAACCAUGGGACAACUGGGC
RNAcentral lists this unclassified non-coding RNA (352 nucleotides) under Zea mays. RNAcentral describes it as "misc RNA Zm00001eb020760". The record is from RNAcentral. Lineage: Eukaryota; Viridiplantae; Streptophyta; Magnoliopsida; Poales; Poaceae.